RNAcentral lists this transfer RNA (74 nucleotides) under Teleaulax amphioxeia. RNAcentral describes it as "tRNA-Asp". It matches the Rfam family "tRNA". Rfam says of the family: Transfer RNA (tRNA) molecules are approximately 80 nucleotides in length. Their secondary structure includes four short double-helical elements and three loops (D, anti-codon, and T loops). Lineage: Eukaryota; Cryptophyceae; Pyrenomonadales; Geminigeraceae. The record is from RNAcentral.
GAGGGCAUAGUUUAAUUGGUUAAAGCGUUAGCUUGUCACGCUAAAGAUUGUGGGUUCAAUUCCCAUUGCUCUCG